Molecule: long non-coding RNA, 638 nt
Organism: Drosophila simulans
Lineage: Eukaryota; Metazoa; Arthropoda; Insecta; Diptera; Drosophilidae
Exons: 2
Source: RefSeq, a predicted model, not a curated record
UCGAUCGUAUAAGUGAAUAAUCGUCCGUACAUGCCGCCCUCCAAAACUUGGUGCAGUAAGAAGCCAUCCUUUCUGACGGUACCUGACAAGAACAACUUCAGAAUAGCUUGGGAUGGGUAAACGACAUAUUUUGGAUAGUUUAAACGGUCGCUACCCGAACCAUGCUAUCAAUACCAGGAUGCAACUUAGGUAUGCGUCUCCACUCUGUGGUGGUACCCUGACAAAUCUGACAAUCACGAUGUCACCGACCUUUAAAUUGGUUUCUUUCUGUCUCCAUUUGGGACGUGCUAGUAGGUGUGAGAGCCAGUAUGAACACCAUCGUCGUAGGAUCCGUUGUCCGUCCAGAAAUCGAGUGUUAAGGGACUUAUCUUGGUUGCUCGUACUGCCAGCUUCGAGUCUUCUCCGCUGUCUCGGCUGUCUUCACUAGAAACGAUUUACUGUACCUGGUGUAGUUUAAAUACUCCCCGAUUGCACUUGCAAACUGCUGACUUACUUCUGUUUGCUGCUAAAGUUUUGUUCCAAGGCGUGGAAAUUUAAGGCGAUCAGUCUAGAUAGUCCGAGAACUUGAGAAGGAUCAUAAACAGUUUUGAACGGCAGGCGGACCGUGUGAUGGUGUAUUGGUUGACGAACAUGGGUGU